Molecule: long non-coding RNA, 592 nt
Organism: Lathyrus oleraceus (garden pea)
Lineage: Eukaryota; Viridiplantae; Streptophyta; Magnoliopsida; Fabales; Fabaceae
Exons: 2
Source: RefSeq, a predicted model, not a curated record
CUUGUCUCUGUGUAGUUUUAAGUUGAACUUAAUUUUCUUGAAGGAUUUGUGGGUCAUUCCCCACUAUAAACCGGGAUCAGUUUGUUAAGCAAGGGGCAUUCAAAAACUGAGUCAUUCAAUUGAGAAACCUUGAGCAUUCUAACUCUUGUACUUAGUGUUUGGAAGCUUUCACGCGACAAAACUGCAAAAACAGGAAGAAAAAGCAAGAUUUAUGCUGUCAUGAUGGAUCCAUUACCAGCAUGACGGUCGUCACCAUCCCUAGGAAGUCAAUUCAUCACAAAAAGUCAACAAAAUGAAGAAGAAUUGUUUGAGCUAGAUGAUGGACGACCAAUCAUGAAGAAAACGACUGUCACUUGUAUGAUGGACGGAACGUCAUGGUAAUGGACCCGAAGUGUAAACUAUAAAUAGGCCCUUAGAACUCCAUUUUCAAAAUCCGAGCUUUGUAUUAGUUAUAAAAUAUUGUGUAAAAGUGAUAAUUGCUCACAUUGAGUCAUUAUUGCAAUUUUAGUUUUAAGGUUGGGGCAAAUCUUCCUAUCAUUGUGUACCUACUACUUUAAUCUUGCCGACAUAAUUUUUCUACAUUUAUUAUCCA